UACGUAGGUGGCAAGCGUUGUCCGGAUUUACUGGGCGUAAAGGGCGCGUAGGCGGGGAGGUAAGUCGGGUGUGAAAUCCCUCGGCCCAACCGAGGAACUGCGCCCGAGACUGCUUCUCUUGAGUCCCGGAGAGGAAGGUGGAAUUCCCGGUGUAGCGGUGAAAUGCGCAGAUAUCAGGAAGAACACCUAUGGCGAAGGCAGCUCUCUGGGACGGUACUGACGCUGAGACGCGAAAGCGUGGGGAGCGAACAGG
RNAcentral lists this ribosomal RNA (253 nucleotides) under uncultured bacterium. Its description in RNAcentral is "partial 16S ribosomal RNA". It matches the Rfam family "Bacterial small subunit ribosomal RNA", at positions 524 to 776 of the family's 1533-position model. The record is from RNAcentral.